RNAcentral lists this ribosomal RNA (520 nucleotides) under uncultured Acaulospora. Its description in RNAcentral is "SSU rRNA". It matches the Rfam family "Eukaryotic small subunit ribosomal RNA", at positions 569 to 1089 of the family's 1831-position model. Lineage: Eukaryota; Fungi; Glomeromycota; Glomeromycetes; Diversisporales; Acaulosporaceae. The record is from RNAcentral.
AGCAGCCGCGGUAAUUCCAGCUCCAAUAGCGUAUAUUAAAGUUGUUGCAGUUAAAAGCUCGUAGUUGAAUUUCGGGGUUCAUACGUUGGUCGGGCUUUUUGGUCUGUACUGGCGUAAUGGAUUCCUACCUUCUGAAUAACCGGCAUGCCAUUAAUUUGGUGCGCCGGGGAAGCAGGACUGUUACCUUGAAAAAAUUAGAGUGCUUAAAGCAGGCUAUCGCCUGAAUACAUUAGCAUGGAAUAAUGAAAUAGGACGGCAUGGUUCUAUUUUGUUGGUUUCUAGGAUUGACGUAAUGAUUAAUAGGGAUAGUUGGGGGCAUUAGUAUUCAAUUGUCAGAGGUGAAAUUCUUGGAUUUAUUGAAGACUAACUACUGCGAAAGCAUUUGCCAAGGAUGUUUUCAUUAAUCAAGAACGAAAGUUAGGGGAUCGAAGACGAUCAGAUACCGUCGUAGUCUUAACCAUAAACUAUGCCGACUAGGGAUCGGAUGAUGUUAAUUUUUUAAUGACUCAUUCGGCGCCUU